This is a long non-coding RNA of Hemiscyllium ocellatum (epaulette shark), 5304 nucleotides long. RefSeq lists it as uncharacterized. The transcript has 2 exons. The record is from RefSeq and is a predicted model, not a curated record. NCBI's taxonomy places the organism in Eukaryota, Metazoa, Chordata, Chondrichthyes, Orectolobiformes, Hemiscylliidae.
GCGGAGGCUUUCCGCAGAGGGACAAAGGCGGUGGCAGGAGCAGAGGCAGCGGCAGAGAAGUGCAUUUUCACUGGCUCUCACGUUAUCAAAUAGGUCAUUCUUUUUGAACGUCCUGGUGAAGUGGAGAUGAAUGUGCAGACAUGCGACGUUUCCCCGCUGGGAGAAUGUGGAUCGCCUUCACAGGGUCAGGCUCCUUCAGACCCCCAGAAGCAAAACCGGUACCGGUGUUCAGUGUGUGGAAAGGGAUUUACUUACCCGUCCCAUUUGGAGGUGCAUUUCCGGGUUCAUACUGGGGAGAGGCCAUUUGAAUGUCCUGUGUGUCAGAAGGGAUUUUUCAAAGUUACUUACCUAACACGACACCAGCGCAUUCAUACAGGCGAUAAGCCGUUUCAGUGCAGUUUGUGUGACAAGCGAUUUUACCGGUCCUUUGAAGUAACAAGGCAUCAGCGGACACACGGUGGAGAGAAACCAUUUGAAUGUCAUGUGUGUAAAAGGCGAUUUUAUACAUCUGGUAACAUGGUGCAGCAUUUGCGAGUUCAUACCGGAGAGAAACCCUUUCAGUGUACUCUCUGUAAAAUGCGAUUCUCCAGAUCCAGCAACUUGAUUGAGCAUCUGCGCACACACACCACUGAGAAACCCUUUGAAUGUGCCUUGUGCAAAAAAUUGUUUCGAAACUCUGGUGGACUUGCAAAACACCAGUAUUUGCAUAGUGGCUUGAAACCGUUUCAGUGUCAGGUAUGUGGAAAGGGCUUUGUGCAACAGACUCAUUUGAUCAAGCAUCAAAGUUCUCAUAAUCAAGAAAAGAUCUGAAACCAAUGGCACACGGAAAGGAAAUGCGUAGUUAACACACAUCGUAUAUUAAUAUUCAUUGGCGUACAAAAAAAGGCUGACUGACCUGAAUGAAGUUGGAAAGACACAGGCAUUGAAGUGCAUGUGCAUAUACAGAUGAACACACAAAUUGGAUAAAGACUAAUGCACUUAUAGCACGCAUUGAUAUUGUCACAAAGACAUACGCAGCAUUUAAAAUUAUGGGGAAGGGUUGGACUUGGGGGAAUUUGAUUUGACUGGGAGGUACAUUCGGGAAUAUUGCAGAAUGUAGAGAAGGCCAUUCUGCUGUUUGUGUGCCAGGUCUUUGGUCGUUCCAUCCAAUCAGUCUCUGCACAUUGUUAGCCAGAUCUUUCCCCCAUUAUUUUAUGCUUCUUUGAGAAGGACAAUCUUGUUAGUAUUUUUGAUUUGCAUUUUAGGAUUUUAAAGCUAUGCAGUUUAACCUUACUAGUCGAUAUAGGGAUUAUAUCAAUGAUAUGCGUGUGUUGCAGCUGAAGCUAGCAUUUAUUGUUCAUCCUAGUUGCCUUGAAGGUGGUGGUGGACCCACCAUCUUUCAGUCCUAGUUCUGUUUUCAUUAGUUUUAUUAGACCACUUCAGAGGAGAAUUGAAGUUCAGUCAUAUUUCUGAAGUCAUUUGGGCUAUAUUGGAAAUUAUAGUUAUGAACCUGGGUGAUAUUUUUGCAUCAUCGUUAGCCAUGGGUGAGGUCCUGGAAGACUGUAGGGUAGCAAAUGGUGCCAUUAUUCAAGAAGGGCUGCAAAGAAAAUCCUGGGAACUAUAGACCAGUAAGCAUAUUAUCUGUGUGGGUAAGUUACUCAAUAUACAUGCAUUUGUUAGAUUAGGAGUAGUCAGCAUGGUUUUGUAAGUAGGAGAUCAUGUCUCUCAAAUGUGUUAGAGUUCUUCGAUGAAGUAACCAGGAAGGUUGUCGAGGGCUGGGCAGUAAGGGUAGUCUAUAUGGAGUCAAAAAGUGUGGUGCAGGAAAAACGCAGCAGGUCAGGAAACAUCCGAUGAGCAAGAGAGUCAAUGUUUCAGGCAUAAGCCCUUCAUCAGGAAUGUCCUGCUCCUGGGACACUGCCUGACCUGUUGUGCUUUUCCAGUGCCACACUUUUUGACUGACUCUCCAGCAUCUGCAGUCCUCACUUUCUGCUGGUAGACUGUAUAGAUUUCAAUAAGGCCUUUGAUAAGUUCAACAUGGUAUGCUGCUGUGGAAGGUGAGAUCAUAGUGAAUCUGUGGCGAGCUGGCAAAUUGAACACCAACUUGGCUUAAUGGUAGGAAGCAGAGGGUAGUAGUGGAAGGAUACUUGUAGGACUGCAGGCCUGUGCUGAGCCCAUUAUUUUUUUUUAUCAAUAUUUAUGGUUUGGAUGAGAAUGUGCAAGGCACGAUUAGUAAGUUUGCUGAUGACACUAAAAUAAGCAGUAUUGUGGGCAAUGAGGAAGGUUAUCAGAAAUUGCAGCAGGACUUUGAUCAGCUGGGGAAGUGGGCAGAGAAAUGGCAAAUGGAGUUUAAUGUAGGUAAGUGUGAGGUCUUGCAUUUUGGAAAGUCAAAUCAAGGUAGGAGUUUCAUGGUGAACUGUAGGGCCUUAAGGAAUGUAGUGGAACAGAGGGACCAUGGAGUUGAGGUUCACAGUUCUCUGAAAUGGGAAUCACAGGUAGACAAGGCAGUGAAGAAGGCUUUUGGCACAUUGACCAUCAUCAGUCAGGGCAUUGAGUGUAGAAGUUGGGAAGAUAUGUUGCAGUUAUACAAGACAAUGGUGAGGUUGCAUUUGGAGUAUUGUAUUUAGUUUUGGUCACCUUGCAAUAGGAAGGAUGUUAUUAAACAGGAAAGAGUGCAGAAGAGAUUUACAUGGAUGUUGCCUUGACUCGAUUGUCUCAGUUAUUGGGAGAGGUUGGACAAGCUAGGACUUUUUUUCUUUAGAGCUUAGGAGACUGAGGGGGGGAUGUUGUAGAGGUCUAGAAGGUGUCCACUCACCGUGGACACAGCCUUAAAAUUAGAGGGGGUCAAUUCAGAACAGAAAUGCGGAGACAUUUCUUCAGCCAGAGAGUGGUGGGCCUGUAGAAUUCAUUGCCGCAGAGUGCAGUGGAGGCCGGGACGCUAAAUGUCUUCAAGGCAGAGAUUGAUAGAUUCUUGAUGUCUCGAGGAAUUAAGGGCUAUGGGGAGAAUGCGGAUAAGUGGAGUUGAAAUGCCCACCGGCCAAGAUUGAAUGGCGGAGUGGACUCGAUGGGCCGAAUGGCUUUACUUCCACUCCUAUGUCUUAUGGUCUUAUAGAAGAUUGUGAGAGGCAUGGAGAGAGUAAAUGCACUCAGUCGACCAAGAUUUUUGGAAUUGAGGACAACUGGGCAUCAGUUUAAGUUUAGAGGGGAAAGAAGAAAAGGGAACGUGAGAGACAACUUUUUACACAGAGGGUGGUAUGCAGAUGGAAUGCGGAAGUGUUUGAGGUGGAUACAUUUAAAAGGUAUUUGGACAAAUACAUGGAUAGGAAAGAUUUAGAAGGACAUGGACCAAGUGCAGGGAAAUGGGGUUAGCAUGAAUGGAUAUUUUGGUCAGCAUGAAUAAGGGCCUGUCUCCCUGCUGUAGGACUCCAACCAGCUGGCUUUUAUAAAUGACAGUCCAGUAGCUUAAUGCUCUCAAUUAUUGAUGCCGAUUUGUAAUGAAGGUGCUAAAGCACAGUUAAUGUUACUGUGACCUCUGAGUCAAAAAGAUUAUGCAAUCAAUUUCUAUUCCAGACCAGAUAGUCCUUACAAAAGAGUCAUAGAGGUGUACAGCAUGGAGACAGACCCUUCACUCAAAUUUGUCCAUGCUUCCCAAAUAUUCUAACCUAAUCUAGUCCCAUUUGCCAGCAUUUGGCCCAUAUCCCUCCAAACCCUUCCUAUUCAAUAACCCAUCUAGAUGCCUUUUAAAUGUUGCAAUUGUACCAGCCUCCACCACUUCCUCUGGCAGCUUAUUCCAUACACGUACCACCCUCUACAUGAAAAAGUUGCCCCUUAGGUCCCUUUUGUACCUUUCCCCUCUUAUCCUAAACCUAUGCCAUCUAGUUCUGGACUCCCCAUGCCAGGGAGUAUACUUUGUCUGUUUUUCCUAUCCAUGUCCCUCAUGAUUUCACAAACCUCUAUAAGGUCACCUCAGCCUCCGACACUUCAGGGAAAACAGCUCCAGCCUGUUCUACCUCUCCCUAUAGCUCAAAUCCUCUAACCCUGUCAAUAUCCUUGUAAAUCUUUUCUGAACCCUUUCAAGUUUGACAACAUCCUUCCGAUAGGAAGGAGACCAGAAUUGCACACAAUAUUCCAACAGUGGCAUAAUCAACAUCCUGUACAGCUGCAACAUGACCUCCCAACUCCCGUACUCCAUAUGCUGACCAAUAAAGGAAAGCAUACCAAACGUCUUCUUUACUAUACAGUCGACCUGCGACUCUACUUUCAAGGAGCUAUGAACCUGCACUCCAUGGUGUCUUUGUUCAGUAACACUUCCAUUAAGUGUACAAGUCCUGCUAAGAUUUGCUUUUCUAAAAUGCAGCACCUCACAUUUAUCUCAAUUAAACUAAAUAUGCCUCCUAUGUUCACAUCCAAGUCAUUUAAAUAAAUGACGAAAAGUAGUUGAUCCAGCACUGAUCCUUGUGGCACUCUACUAGUCACAGGCCACCAGUCUGAAAAGCAACCCUCCACCUGCACCUCUGUCUUCUGCCUUCGAGCCAGUUCUGUAUCCAGAUGGCUAAUUCUCUUUGUAUUCCAUGCAAUGUAACCUUGCUAACCAGUCUCCCAAGGGAAACCUUGCCAAACAUCUUACUGAAGCCCUUAUAGAUCCCCUUACUGGGAUUGUAUUAUAGACCCCCUAAUAGUCGGUGGGAAAUUAAACUUUCCAAACGUAGACUGGGACUGCCGUAGUGUUAAGGGUUUAGAUGGAAAGUUUUUUUUUAAGUGUGUACAAGAAAAUUUUCUGAUUCAGUAUGUGGAUGCACCUACUAGAGAAGGUGCAAAACGUGACCUACUCUUGGGAAAUAAGGCAGGGCAGGUGCCUGAGGUGUCAGUGGGGAGCACUUUGGGGCCAGCGACCAUAAUUCUAUUAGUUUAAAAUAGUGAUGGAAAAGGAUAGACGAGAUCUAAAAGUUGAUGUUCUAAAUUGGAGAAAGGCCAAUUUUGACAGUAUUAGGCAAGAACUUUCAAAAGCUGGUUGGGGGCAGAUGUUUGCAGGUAAAGGGACAGCUGGAAAAUGGAAGCCUUCAGAAAUGAGAAAAUGAGUCCAAAGACAGUACAUUCCUGUUAGGGUAAAAGGAAAGGCUGGUAGGUGUAGGGAAUGCUGGAUGAUGAGAGAAAUUGAGGGUUUGGUUAAGAAAAAGAAGGAAGCCUAUGUUGCAGGAUAACCCAUGUUUUGAUAUGCCUGCUUGGAUUAAUGACCUUAUUUGAAGAAGUGGCUUGCAGGGGAAUAAUCUCUGAUAAACAUUGACCAAGACACCAACUGGUCAUUAUUAAUAAACCAGAUUAACUGUU